This 460-nucleotide ribosomal RNA is filed under the name uncultured bacterium. Its description in RNAcentral is "partial 16S ribosomal RNA". It matches the Rfam family "Bacterial small subunit ribosomal RNA", at positions 338 to 795 of the family's 1533-position model. The record is from RNAcentral.
CCUACGGGAGGCAGCAGUGAGGAAUAUUGGUCAAUGGACGAGAGUCUGAACCAGCCAAGUAGCGUGAAGGAUGACUGCCCUAUGGGUUGUAAACUUCUUUUAUAUGGGAAUAAAAUGUUCCACGUGUGGGAUUUUGUAUGUACCAUAUGAAUAAGGAUCGGCGAACUCCGUGCCAGCAGCCGCGGUAAUACGGAGGAUCCGAGCGUUAUCCGGAUUUAUUGGGUUUAAAGGGAGCGUAGGUGGAUUGUUAAGUCAGUUGUGAAAGUUUGCGGCUCAACCGUAAAAUUGCAGUUGAAACUGGCAGUCUUGAGUACAGUAGAGGUGGGCGGAAUUCGUGGUGUAGCGGUGAAAUGCUUAGAUAUCACGAAGAACUCCGAUUGCGAAGGCAGUUCACUGGACUGCAACUGACACUGAGGCUCGAAAGUGUGGGUAUCAAACAGGAUUAGAUACCCCAGUAGUC